RNAcentral lists this ribosomal RNA (500 nucleotides) under uncultured bacterium. RNAcentral's name for it is "partial 16S ribosomal RNA". It matches the Rfam family "Bacterial small subunit ribosomal RNA", at positions 899 to 1397 of the family's 1533-position model. The record is from RNAcentral.
ACUCAAAUGAAUUGACGGGGGCCCGCACAAGCGGUGGAGCAUGUGGUUUAAUUCGACGCAACGCGAAGAACCUUACCCAGACUUGACAUCGAUGGAAUCCUUCAGAAAUGAGGGAGUGCCCUUCGGGGCCCAGAAGACAGGUGCUGCAUGGCUGUCGUCAGCUCGUGUCGUGAGAUGUUGGGUUAAGUCCCGCAACGAGCGCAACCCUUGCCGUUAGUUGCUACCAGGUUAAGCUGAGCACUCUAACGGGACUGCCGGUGUCAAACCGGAGGAAGGUGGGGAUGACGUCAAGUCCUCAUGGCCUUUAUGUCUGGGGCUACACACGUGCUACAAUGGCUGCCACAGAACGUCGCGAACUCGUGAGAGAGAGCAAAUCGUCAAAAGGCAGUCUCAGUUCGGAUUGAAGUCUGCAACUCGACUUCAUGAAGUCGGAAUCGCUAGUAAUCGUGGAUCAGCAUGCCACGGUGAAUACGUUCCCGGGCCUUGUACACACCGCCCGU